Molecule: ribosomal RNA, 219 nt
Filed under: Triticum aestivum (bread wheat)
Lineage: Eukaryota; Viridiplantae; Streptophyta; Magnoliopsida; Poales; Poaceae
Description: partial small subunit ribosomal RNA
Source: RNAcentral
AUGAACCACAAGCGCUACACCCAUUUCCCGGUGAAGGCACAGCGGCUUUUCUUCCAGGGCGAGGAGCUUGACGACGACCGCAAUACCGAGCACUACGGUAUCAUCCAGGGGUCACGCGUCCGCCUCGACCUGCCUGCAAUCUUGACCACGUUUCCUUUGUUAUUUUUGCGUUCCAUGCUGUCGGCAAGGAGGAAGCACCAGAUAGGAAUAAUAACCUAA